RNAcentral lists this ribosomal RNA (484 nucleotides) under uncultured bacterium. RNAcentral's name for it is "partial 16S ribosomal RNA". It matches the Rfam family "Bacterial small subunit ribosomal RNA", at positions 30 to 507 of the family's 1533-position model. The record is from RNAcentral.
AUUGAACGCUGGCGGCAGGCCUAACACAUGCAAGUCGAGCGGAUGAAGGGAGCUUGCUCCUGGAUUCAGCGGCGGACGGGUGAGUAAUGCCUAGGAAUCUGCCUUGUAGUGGGGGAUAACGUCCGGAAACGGGCGCUAAUACCGCACACGACCUGAGGGAGAAAGUGGGGGAUCUUCGGACCUAACGCUACCAGAUGAUCCUAGGUCGGAUUAGCUAGUUGGUGUGGUAAAGGCCUACCAAGGCGACGAUCCGUAACUGGUCUGAGAGGAUGAUCAGUCACACUGGAACUGAGACACGGUCCAGACUCCUACGGGAGGCAGCAGUGGGGAAUAUUGGACAAUGGGCGAAAGCCUGAUCCAGCCAUGCCGCGUGUGUGAAGAAGGUCUUCGGAUUGUAAAGCACUUUAAGUUGGGAGGAAGGGCAGUAAGUGAAUACAUUGCUGUUUUGACGUUACCAACAGAAUAAGCACCGGCUAACUUCGUG